Molecule: ribosomal RNA, 868 nt
Filed under: Afrorhytida knysnaensis
Lineage: Eukaryota; Metazoa; Mollusca; Gastropoda; Stylommatophora; Rhytididae
Description: partial 16S ribosomal RNA
Rfam family: Eukaryotic large subunit ribosomal RNA (bases 329-868)
Source: RNAcentral
GAACAUAGAAGAUCUAACUUAGAUAAUUUUGUAGAAUUAUAUAAUAAUGUCACAAUUAUUAUUAAAUUAAUAUUAAGUUAGGGGUGAAAUGCUUUCAAUUCUAUCAUAUCUGGAUUUAUAUUAAAUAUAUGUAGUAUAGGAUUAAAUUCUCAGACUUAAAAUGUUAAGAUUUUAAGAAUUUAAUUAAAUUUCCACUUUGUUUUAGUAUUAUAAGUGUUAAUCCUCUUAUAGUUAAUUAACUUAUAAUUUUUUUAGGUCUUGUUAAUAAUUAUAAUAUAAUAAUUAAUAGAAUCAAUUAAUAAUUAAAUAAUGUUUAGAUUAGUAAAAAAUUCAUUAAUUUUUAUUAAGGAACUCGGCAAAUAUAUUCUUCGUCUGUUUAACAAAAACAUAGCUUAGUGCAACUAAAUUAAUGCUAAGUAAUUUCUGCCCAGUGAAUAUUUUAACGGCCGCAGUACCUUGACUGUGCUAAGGUAGCAUAAUAAAUUGGCUUUUAAUUGGAGUCUCGUAUCAACGAAAUGUGGGAGAAUGACUGUCUCAUGAGAAUUAAUUUAAAUUUAUUUUUUAGGUGAAAAUACCUUAAAUUUUAUAUAUAGACAAGAAGACCCUUAGAAUUUUUAUUAAAUUAAUUCUUAUAAUUAAUUAAUUUUUGUUGGGGCGACAAGGUAACAGAGAACUUACCUAUUUUUCUUUUACUUGACCUUUUUUAAUAGAAUGAAUAAAUUACCUAAGGGAUAACAGCAUAAUAUUAGUUUGAUUGUGACCUCGAUGUUGGAUUAGGAAAAAUAAUAGCUAGUAGUUAUUAUCUUAGGUUCUGUUCGAACUGUAGCACCUACAUGAUCUGAGUUCAGACCGGUGCAAGCCAGGUCAG